This 74-nucleotide transfer RNA is filed under the name Streptomyces phage Tomas. Its description in RNAcentral is "tRNA-Lys". It matches the Rfam family "tRNA". Rfam says of the family: Transfer RNA (tRNA) molecules are approximately 80 nucleotides in length. Their secondary structure includes four short double-helical elements and three loops (D, anti-codon, and T loops). Further hydrogen bonds mediate the characteristic L-shaped molecular structure. tRNAs have two regions of fundamental functional importance: the anti-codon, which is responsible for specific mRNA codon recognition, and the 3' end, to which the tRNAs corresponding amino acid is attached (by aminoacyl-tRNA synthetases). tRNAs cope with the degeneracy of the genetic code in two manners: having more than one tRNA (with a specific anti-codon) for a particular amino acid; and 'wobble' base-pairing, i.e. permitting non-standard base-pairing at the 3rd anti-codon position. Lineage: Duplodnaviria; Heunggongvirae; Uroviricota; Caudoviricetes; Stanwilliamsviridae. The record is from RNAcentral.
GCUCCGGUAGCUCAGUUGGUAGAGCAAGGGACUCUUAACCCCUGUGUCCACAGUUCAAGUCUGUGUCGGAGCAC